Molecule: ribosomal RNA, 497 nt
Filed under: uncultured bacterium
Lineage: Bacteria
Description: partial 16S ribosomal RNA
Rfam family: Bacterial small subunit ribosomal RNA
Source: RNAcentral
GAUGAACGCUGGCGGCGUGCCUAAUACAUGCAAGUCGAGCGAACAGACGAGGAGCUUGCUCCUCUGACGUUAGCGGCGGACGGGUGAGUAACACGUGGAUAACCUACCUAUAAGACUGGGAUAACUUCGGGAAACCGGAGCUAAUACCGGAUAAUAUAUUGAACCGCAUGGUUCAAUAGUGAAAGACGGUUUUGCUGUCACUUAUAGAUGGAUCCGCGCCGCAUUAGCUAGUUGGUAAGGUAACGGCUUACCAAGGCAACGAUGCGUAGCCGACCUGAGAGGGUGAUCCGCCACACUGGAACUGAGACACGGUCCAGACUCCUACGGGAGGCCGCAGUAGGGAAUCUUCCGCGAUGGGCGAAAGCCUGACGGAGCAACGCCGCGUGAGUGAUGAAGGUCUUCGGAUCGUAAAACUCUGUUAUUAGGGAAGAACAAAUGUGUAAGUAACUAUGCACGUCUUGACGGUACCUAAUCAGAAAGCCCCGGCUAACUCCGUG